AAAUUGAAGAGUUUGAUCAUGGCUCAGAUUGAACGCUGGCGGCAGGCCUAACACAUGCAAGUCGAGCGGCAGCGGGAAAGUAGCUUGCUACUUUUGCCGGCGAGCGGCGGACGGGUGAGUAAUGCCUGGGGAUCUGCCUAGUCGAGGGGGAUAACAGUUGGAAACGACUGCUAAUACCGCAUACGCCCUACGGGGGAAAGGAGGGGACCUUCGGGCCUUUCGCGAUUGGAUGAACCCAGGUGGGAUUAGCUAGUUGGUGGGGUAAUGGCUCACCAAGGCGACGAU
This 285-nucleotide ribosomal RNA is filed under the name Aeromonas salmonicida subsp. salmonicida. RNAcentral's name for it is "partial 16S ribosomal RNA". It matches the Rfam family "Bacterial small subunit ribosomal RNA", at positions 1 to 280 of the family's 1533-position model. Lineage: Bacteria; Pseudomonadati; Pseudomonadota; Gammaproteobacteria; Aeromonadales; Aeromonadaceae. The record is from RNAcentral.